UGUGAACUCCAAAAGAUAAUCUGGACAAAUAAAUUAUAUUGUAACUGGAGAGUGCAAUCGUGCUUGGGACCCAUCCCAAUGUCAUCACAUGGCUGUGGUGACUAGUGUAUACCUGGGAGAAUUUUUCCUCAACUGAGACGGAGUGUAGAUGGAUGGAUUAUGAGAAAUGCGAAGAUGUGGAGUUCAAGGCUAGAUGCACUUCACAUUCGGCGUGGGAUCUCGGCGUCUCGGACCUGAUAACGUCUUGGUUGGAUGGGUGAUCAAGGAUGAUACUACUCGGCACACCAAUGUACAUGUCAAUGUAGUUUUUACUUUUUCAGAGCUGCACUAUUUACGUCUUGAUGCUUACUUCGGUGCUAGUGUCGUGUCCGUGUGUUGCUACAAUGUCAUUAUCUGUAUUGUAUUCCGUCUGCUUAUACAUGUGUCUUUAUGAAGUGUUUGCCGUGGCGGCGAUGUGUCUUGUCGAUCAAUAGUGUUGUGAAACCUAUCACUAUUCAUGCUUUGCUGGCUACUCGCUCGCUCCGCGCCGUGCACGCUACUAGGUCUUGUAGUAUAUAGCUCG
This is a long non-coding RNA of Sycon ciliatum, 562 nucleotides long. RefSeq lists it as uncharacterized. The transcript is spliced from 3 exons. Lineage: Eukaryota; Metazoa; Porifera; Calcarea; Leucosolenida; Sycettidae. The record is from RefSeq and is a predicted model, not a curated record.